This 497-nucleotide ribosomal RNA is filed under the name uncultured bacterium. Its description in RNAcentral is "partial 16S ribosomal RNA". It matches the Rfam family "Bacterial small subunit ribosomal RNA", at positions 28 to 507 of the family's 1533-position model. The record is from RNAcentral.
GAUGAACGCUGGCGGCGUGCCUAAUACAUGCAAGUCGAGCGAACGGACGAGAAGCUUGCUUCUCUGAUGUUAGCGGCGGACGGGUGAGUAACACGUGGAUAACCUACCUAUAAGACUGGGAUAACUUCGGGAAACCGGAGCUAAUACCGGAUAAUAUUUUGAACCGCAUGGUUCAAAAGUGAAAGACGGUCUUGCUGUCACUUAUAGAUGGAUCCGCGCUGCAUUAGCUAGUUGGUAAGGUAACGGCUUACCAAGGCAACGAUGCAUAGCCGACCUGUGAGGGUGAUCGGCCACACUGGAACUGGGCCACGGUCCAGACUCCUACGGGAGGCAGCAGUAGGGAAUCUUCCGCAAUGGGCGAAAGCCUGACGGAGCAACGCCGCGUGAGUGAUGAAGGUCUUCGGAUCGUAAAACUCUGUUAUUAGGGAAGAACAUAUGUGUAAGUAACUGUGCACAUCUUGACGGUACCUAAUCAGAAAGCCACGGCUAACUACGUG